Chlorocebus sabaeus (green monkey) is the source of this 1186-nucleotide non-coding RNA. The record is from RefSeq and is a predicted model, not a curated record. NCBI's taxonomy places the organism in Eukaryota, Metazoa, Chordata, Mammalia, Primates, Cercopithecidae.
GCUCUGGGGAGAAAAGCAAAUCAACAGAGUCAGUGGCUGUGUCCACCCAGUCAGAGGAGUCUGUCCUUGAUGGCUUUAGUUUUCCUAAAACGUAAAAAUGCUUUACGUCAACUAAGAAAGAUAAAGCAACUGGGUUCCAAUGGGUCACUUGAGGUAUCCUAAGAACUCAGAUAUCAAGUUCCCCAAAGACACCCCCAGGUUGAGUCAGCUAAGAAGUGAGUCAGCCAGAAUGCCAUGGUCACCCGCUGAUCCCUCUUGGGCUCCCUAAAACCCAAAGGUCUCCGACAUCAGAGCCAGCAAGACAUACUGUUCCAAAGCGUGUCAAGAAGCUCUACGGAAAUCAUACUUGAACCCAUAACGGCUCCCAAAGCCUAACAAGGCAGCUGAUAAUGGCUUUGCCAGGAACGUGAGUCCACACUGGUUAUCUCGAAUUUAUCCAGGAAAUUAGUUUUUAAUUUAAAAAGGAAAACAAACUAAUUAUGAGUUAAGAACACAUAGCUCAUUUGCUCGGAAGGUACACUCAAAGCAAGAAGAAAGAAAAACCAGAGGGGUUUAUCGGUGGUGAAAUUGGCAAAUCCUGGAUCGGUUUACUGGGGAGUGCUCCUCCUACUGGCAAAUACUGGAACAACAAGGAAGAUUGGUUCCAGGACCUCCAGGUCAUCGUUUUAAAUUCGUGAUUAUGGUAUCUCCCCUACCAGCUUCUUGAGACCCUUGAGACCCUUGCCGGAAGCCAAACAGAUGCUGGUGCCUUGCUUCCUGUACAACCUGCAGAAUUGUGAGCCAAAUAAACCUCUUUCCUUUAUAAAUUACCCAGUCUCAGGUAUUCCUUUAUAGCAAGGCAAAAUGUGUUAAUGCAAAAUAUACCUGUUCUUAGUUCCAUUUUCCAUAGGAGGGAACUGAGGCUCGGAAACAUUCUAUCGCCUUGCCCAGGGUCACCCGUCAGAAAGUGCUGACCAGGAAUCAUUCAUCCCUUCUACCCUGUUUGUGUCCCUCCAGGGAAGGGGCAGAGCUGGAGGACUAAUCUAGAAGGCUGCAUAUGUGGGGUGGGUUUCCCCAGGGCCCCGUUCAGUCCUGGGAAAAGGAAACUAGUACUAAGAGCCACCAUUGGUUGAGCACCGGUAUGCUAAACACUGCUGGACAAUUUAUGUGUGUUAUCUGGUUUCAUACUCAACACUGGAAGCAAGUA